Molecule: ribosomal RNA, 498 nt
Filed under: uncultured bacterium
Lineage: Bacteria
Description: partial 16S ribosomal RNA
Rfam family: Bacterial small subunit ribosomal RNA
Source: RNAcentral
AACGAACGCUGGCGACAUGCCUUACACAUGCAAGUCGAACGGCAGCACGGGGCAACCUGGUGGCGAGUGGCGAACGGGUGAGUAAUGCAUCGGAACGUACCUUUCAGUGGGGGAUAACGUAGCGAAAGUUACGCUAAUACCGCAUAUUCUGUGAGCAGGAAAGCAGGGGAUCGCAAGACCUUGCGCUGAUUGAGCGGCCGAUGUCAGAUUAGCUAGUUGGUGAGGUAAAGGCUCACCAAGGCGGCGAUCUGUAGCGGGUCUGAGAGGAUGAUCCGCCACACUGGAACUGGGACACGGUCCAGACUCCUACGGGAGGCAGCAGUGGGGAAUUUUGGACAAUGGGGGCAACCCUGAUCCAGCCAUGCCGCGUGAGUGAAGAAGGCCUUCGGGUUGUAAAGCUCUUUCGGCCGGGAAGAAAUCGCACGGGCUAAUACCCUGUGUGGAUGACGGUACCGGAAUAAGAAGCACCGGCUAACUACGUGCCAGCCGCCGCAGUAA